AAUCAUGGCUCAGGACGAACGCUGGCGGCGCGCCUAACACAUGCAAGUCGAACGAGCGAGAGAGAGCUUGCUUUCUUGAGCGAGUGGCGAACGGGUGAGUAACGCGUGAGGAACCUGCCUCAAAGAGGGGGACAACAGUUGGAAACGACUGCUAAUACCGCAUAAGCCCACAGCUCGGCAUCGAGCAGAGGGAAAAGGAGCAAUCCGCUUUGAGAUGGCCUCGCGUCCGAUUAG
Molecule: ribosomal RNA, 234 nt
Filed under: uncultured bacterium
Lineage: Bacteria
Description: partial 16S ribosomal RNA
Rfam family: Bacterial small subunit ribosomal RNA
Source: RNAcentral